UCUUGGUUGUAAUAUUAAGUAUAUAAAAAUUACGUUAAUUUUAAAACGUUUCAUCUUUUUGUCCGACAGUGUAGGUAUAAGCACCGCGAAGGUAUAAACUGUAGAUUAAGCUCGAGUAUUCCGAAUCGAAUAAAGCUAUUUAUUAAUACCGUUUGCAGGGUCGUAUACCUUCAUUCGAGUCUCCCCGUACCCGGCCAACCGACUAUACCAGCGCUUUCCCAAACAAGCAUUGCACCUAUCAAUGACAGAACCUAUUAAUAAUAUUCUAACAUUAAAAUUGGGAAUAGUACAAACGUGUAAUGAAAUGACAGACGUACAACGUCAAUCGGCUACUCGUUCUGUCAUUGAUAGGUGGAAUACUUGUUUCCAAGUUGGAGGUAGUCAUUUGGAACAACAUAUGUAAAUAAUUAGUUAUCUUUAGCAAUACAUACAACAACUUUCUUCAGUAAUAUACGUGAUCGAUAAAACUGAAUUAUUAUUUCGAUAGCGUACAUUGCUUAUUGUAAGUCCUACAAGUCGACAAUUUUGGUUAUUGAUAUAAGGAUUAAAAUAUGAUGCUGUACUAAAUAUUGCUUCAAAUACUGAACCAAAUUCUGAUCGUGAAAAAUCGCGGAAAACGCGAAUUAAUAGAACUGAGGCUGCAGGAUGUUUGUAUCCCCAAAGAAGAAAAGUGCAUAAUAUACCAUAAUAUCAUGAGCGGUGAUACACACACACACACACACGCGCGCGCGCGCGCACACCAAUAAAUAACGUAGAUUUAGAACAGCAACUACAAGCAGUGCAGGAUAAGUUACGAUACUUAAUACCUGCAAGAUAACACUCUGCACAGAGUUUUUCCCAGUGUUUUUAAUUAAAUUUGAAUUCUGCAAAACUAGAAUUAUUGCAGCAACAACAGCAACCGCAACCACAACAGUAUCCACAAUUGCUACAGCUGGAGAAAGAAUGAACCAUGGAAAUGGUGCACCAGCCUCCACAAACAUCUGUCGGAAGAAAAAGAUAGCUUCACAUGAGGUUUUAGCAGAAGAGCAGUACGAAGAGGAGGAGACAACUACUUUGUAAUAAUAAAUAAAAAAUACAUAAACAAGAAUAAUAUACUAAUAAUUAAAAUUAACAUUUAUACUAGGAAAAUUAAAACGGGAACUGAAACUUGAAAUGUAACUUAACUUUACAUAUAUUAUACAUUUGUGUUUAUUAAGUAGAAAAUAAAAUAAUAAUAAAUAUCUUAA
Megalopta genalis is the source of this 1226-nucleotide long non-coding RNA. RefSeq lists it as uncharacterized. The record is from RefSeq and is a predicted model, not a curated record. NCBI's taxonomy places the organism in Eukaryota, Metazoa, Arthropoda, Insecta, Hymenoptera, Halictidae.